Mus musculus (house mouse) is the source of this 10614-nucleotide long non-coding RNA. RefSeq annotates it as predicted gene, 53716. The record is from RefSeq and is a predicted model, not a curated record. The transcript is spliced from 3 exons. NCBI's taxonomy places the organism in Eukaryota, Metazoa, Chordata, Mammalia, Rodentia, Muridae.
UCCUAAAGAGAGCACAGCAAAUACAAACGGAGUUACCGUUGGAACAAGGAAUCCCUACAAGGCAUACACAGUAACUAAAGACUUCAGAAGUAAAAGAUUAUAGCAUAAUUAUAAUCAACUAAUAAAAAAUUACAUAUUUUUAUUUCUUUAGACACAAAAUUUGCUAUAAAACCAUAUAAAAUUUUCUUUCUUUUUUCUUAGAAAAAGUAGCAUUUAGACCAGUGAUUCUCAACCUGUGGGCCACAACCCCUUUGGGGGUUUGAACAACCCUUUCACAGGGGAUGCAUAUGAGAUAUUUACAUUAUGAUUCAUAACAGUAGCAAAUUAUAGUUAUGAAGUACCAACAAAAUCAUGUUAGGAUUAGGGAUCACUACAACCUAAAGCAUGAUAUUAAAGGGUGAAACCACUGAUUCAGACAGAGUCCACAAGGAGGCACUGUCACCCUAUAAAAAAAAAAAAAUCCCAGUACCGUUGCCUCCCUGUAGAUGGCAGGGUAACAAAUUCAAUUAAGUAGACAGGACAAGAUCUGAAUUUUUAUAUAAAAAACGAAAUAGGACAGACUCAGUCUGGGAGUGUAUUCUUUGUAGUAUUAUUUUCUUAAAUAUCUACUUCAGUAAGACAUAAAGACACAGAAAUAAAGGUACUGGCUCCCAUGUUCUUGAAGUAUACAUGCAUGGAAACGAAAUCUACAAGAAACACUACUGUGAAAAGAAUUAAUCCAGAAAGAAUUCAUUCUUUAUUAGGCUCUUUUUUAUACCCAUAUAAUAUCAUAAUUUUCCUUUUGAAAAUGUGAAAGUACAAGCAAACAGUAUUCUUGGCUGAGGUCUUUUCCCAGAAUUUACCACGUUUACAGUCUAAUUGUUUCAUAUUUUUAUGAUCUCAGAAAAUGCAGAACUUAAUUUAGGAAUGACAAAAAUGUUUACACAAAGCAUCUCAUAAAGCUAUGUUCCAGAAAUUCUCAUAAGAUGUUUUCAUUCUUAUGUAAAUAUCCCAUAAUCACAUAGUUUGGCAUACACCAGUGAAUAAUGAUACCAUUUUAGUAAAAUUAAAACUGGAUAUUACUUAAUCAAUACUUUGUUAUGCCAAUAUACGACAGAUAUAACUCUAGCCAUGGUGAACUGAAUGUGUCCAUCCUCAAGUCCGUGUGUUGCAAUCCUAACCCUCAGCAUGGUCCUUGGAGUAGGCCUUAAUAGGUGAUUAGGCCACGAGUGUGGAGUUGUCAUAGAAUUAGAUAAUUCUCAUAAAAGACCCUUGAGAACUGCCUUGCCCCUCCCACUAAUGAGGACAUCUAAGAGCUGGCCCUCUUCCAGGCACCAAAGUUCUUGUGCCUGAAUCUUAAGAGUUCUCAACCCCCAGAUCAGUGAGAUGUCGAUGCCUGCGCCAUCUUUGGUGGCUUGUGCUAACAGCCAGGCAGAAUGAGACACUAGGAAGUUAAACAUCUUGUUUCCAGAGUUGGUUUAGAUGCCAGCUGUGCUUUGGCGCCAGCUGUCAAGCCUAAUGGCCUGCCUUCAGUCAGCAGGGCACAAGUGACCUCUACAUCUGGGUCCCCCAGUACACAAAAUAAAAAGUAAAUAUAAUAAAGCAUAUUUCUAAAUUUUAUGAGUUAAUUCACAAAAAUACUGAGUUCUUUUGAAGCCUGUCUCAGAACUUGCUGAGAUAAUUUUUAAAACUAAAGACGUUGGUUAAUCAAAAUCGCUACAUGUCUGAUGAAAUAAUUUAUAUCUAUAAAAGUGUCCCAUGUGAUUGUCAUAUACAGUCAGAUUUGGGAAGCAGGUACAUUUUAAAGACAGACCUUUGUUGUUGUUAAAACAGAGAAGGCCUGAAAUAGUUUAGCCAUUUAGAAAUAAAUCAUGAAUUGUGUAUCUCAGGAAGAAUUGUCUAUUAACUGCCUGCCAUUUCACAAACCACUGUGACUGAACAAAUCCAGGAAGCCCAAUUUCAAAAGCUUUAUUCCCAGUCACCUCCACAAUGGCCUUUCUGAGUCACUGGUGUGGCCACGACUUCAGCUAAUCUCUCAGGGCUAAGAGCUGCAGGGUGCUAUUUCCAGAGUGAGGCUCUAAGAUGAAGAUUCCUCUCUGCCAACUGCUUCUCUUUACACCAGCACUUACAACCACUGGGCAGGCUGCAGGCUGUGGGAUUCUAACAUUUCCACUCUGCCUCAACUUCCCCUAGAAGUGACUGGGUAUACAAAUUAUUCUUAAAAAGCAAGUUUCAAAUAUGAUGAAAGUAUGCUCAUUAUAAUUUUCAAGAUAUUGCACUUAUGCAUGCCUCAAAAACUAUCACUGUUUAUAAAUGUCAAUAACAUGGAUAAAGCACCAAAAGAAAUCUCUGAAAUUUUUCUUAGAAGUUUAAGAACUGUGCACACAAAAACUCCGAGCCCUUGUACCUUGGUUACCAUUAGCAUCAGGGCUGAAACCAUCCAGGCUUGGGGGGCAAUCUGAAAAUAUGUGAUCUUGAACUAAGGAUGUGUGAAGACACCUAAUUAUUCUUUGACACCCUGACUGGCAACUCCAGUGGGACUUUUAGGGUACCCCUUCUGUAUCAAGCAAGUCAUGAUGGAAACAAGAUUGGCCCCACACCCCUCCCACCCCACACUCUGAGUCCUUCCUGCACAGAGAUGUCUGCUCCGAUGCGGCUCCUCUGUCAGUUUUAAGGCAUCCUUAACAUACUCGGGGGUGUGGUUCUUUCUACGUGAAAGAAUCUCCAUUUUUUUCAAUCCCAUAACUUAUAAAAAUGACUCAUUUAAUAGGCAUACAAUGACUACUUGGCUCCAAUAAAAAAGAAGCUUGAAGUAUCUUGUUUUUUUCUUUCGAGGGAGAUGUUUUAUGAGUCAAAGGCUGAGAUGAAUGGUACACUCUGUAACUCAGCAACCCUCUGGAACCGGACAGUUACAACCUCUUCUACAAAGAGCUGAGGGGGAAACCUAACACCUGCGUUUCAUGAACACGGGAUGUACUGUUUGGUGUCCCAAACAAUCGUCCGGGUGGCCUGAGGUGACGUGUGACGCCAGGCAGUGUGGACACCUCCUGGGAGCUGACUCCAAACAAGUCCAGGCUCACCUGAGAUCCCACAUGUGCAAUCUGCAGGGUUUAGCCUUAUGCAUGUAUAUGAGGAGUUUGGGCCACUUCAUCCCCAUCACCCUCUCUUCCUCCCUCUGAACAACAUCCCAACAAGACCUCCUCCUACUUCCUUUUCUUCAGUGACUGAGUUAAAUUCAGGUUCUCUGCAUAAGCAUGGGGUGGCAAAAACAUCUGGGAAGAAAAUGGCGCCUCUACUGAAGCAAUCAAAGAUCACAGUAAGUUUUAAUAAGACUUGAUUUUAAUAACCUGUCUAUCUGUCUGUCUCUCUGUGUGUGUCUAUCUCAUGUGUGUGUGUGUGUGUCUGUCUGUCUGUCUGGAUGUCAGAGGUUAACCUCAGGAAUCUUCCUCUACCACAUUCUACCUUAUAUUUUGAGUGAAUCAUCUGGCUAGAUAGGCUUAUUAGCAAAUCUCUGGGACCUACCUGUCUUCUUCUCCCCAGACACCCCCUUCCCUCCAGCGAUGGGGUUGCAGGCACAUGCUGCCACAUCUGGUGUUUUCAUGGGUACUAGGGAUCUGAACUCUGGUCCUCCUGCUUGCAUAGUGGGCAUUUUACUCAUGGGGCCAUCUAUCCCCAGCCCUGGGCCAUCUUUAAAUACCAUCACUUUAUUAAAAUUACCUCAUCUAUCCAAAAUAUUACUAAGUAUGCAUACCUAGAUAAAGAAGAAACGGGAACUCAGACUGUUGUGGUUUCAGGCCAUCCUUUCUUUUUGAGACACUGAUACACAGAGAAGGCACUGGGGACAUAUGCUACUUAAAGAGAGAAAUGAAGCAGAAAAAAAAUGUGUACUCUACCCUCAAGAAAUGAAUAAAUGAAGCAACAUAUAGAUUUUUGCUUGGUCAAUCAGAAAUGCCGAAGAUGGUAAUCUGAACUCAGGGAUGGCAUGUCAUUUUUUACUGUUUGCCCCAAAGUCCAAAUAUAAACCAUGUUCUUGUAGAACACGACAAAAGGUUGUACAAGAAGCCAAUGAAGCUCUUAUAAACAUUGCAGGGUACAAACAUGACCUUAUAUAAAAUGGUAUGAUGUAGUUCCUUAAUUUUUCAAAAGAUAAAUUAAAUAAAAAAGUCCAGAAGAGGGUGGACCCUCAUCUUAAGAGCAGUAGGACUUGAUGCUCUCAGACAUCCAUCUGCAAACUAGGAAAUGAGGAGCAUGCAAACCUUAGGGUUGAAGUAAGCUAGCAAAGUUGGUCCUUCACAUUUGGAAUGGAAAAGUCACUAGACAGCAGAAAGCACUAUCUGUGAUGACAAAGCAGAACACUGAAGAGUGUGAGGCGAAGUCUGAACACUCACACCCAAACUAAGUGGUAUGCUAGAAACACCCUCUGUGGAGGCUAGAGAUGUCAGAAUUCUUUCAAAGAAUCAAACAUUUCCUUGCCUUAAGCCAAGUGAAACACUCCAUUUAAAAUAUGAACAACACAGAGCUUAAUUACAUUCAAGGAUUCUUAUUAUCGGCUGCUGGGAGCAGCAGAGAGGACCCUUCUAAGAGCCUGAUGCUACACAGAGAAUGCAGGGGCCUAGCCUCUCCCUACCUGUCCCAUCCCAGAGCUAAGCAAGGGUCUAGCCUCCCCUUCCUUCACCAUCCCAGGGCUAGGCAGGGGCCUAGCCUCCCCUCCCUGUCCCAUUCCAGGGCUAGGCAGGGGCCUGGCCUCUCCCUCCCUGUCCCACCCCAGGGCUAGGUUUGAGGUGCAUGGCUUUCUCUUCCCUUGGUGCCUUAACACAGCACAUCCACAGAUUCAAGCCAGCAAGCACAUGUAACCACUCGGCUUCUACCGUGAUCACCGAGUGAUCUUAGCUUGGAGAGCGGGGGACUCAGGUCCUUGCCCAGUUCGUGACCCACUUCUAUUAUUAUGAUUUCUCUUACUGGAUCCAGGUUCUUAAACAGCAGGAUGUCUUUGCAAGCCUCUUGCAAUCUGUUUCUCUGAUCAUCGGUUUUGGGAUGUAUUAUCUGAAAAGACAGCAAAAUCGAGAAAGCAAACACAGCAGUCAAUACCAGGUAAAAUCCAACAAAAAGGAGUGCUGGAGAGAAGAAUGGUUAGUGCUCCAGUCCACUCUCCCAGUUGGUAGGACAUUUGCUUUGGGUGGCAAACAAGGAUUAGCCCACGAGCACAGGACAAUGACACCACCACUUCUGGGUGGAAAGACCAUCUUCCCCCCAGAUCAGCAGGCACAUUAUGAAAAGAUGCAUCCUAGUCUAUAAGGCAUGUAUGCGGGACAGAGUGUUACAUAGUUACACUGGAAAGUUAGACACUGCCUUCAUUUCGUUGUUACUGAUCUUAAAACUCUGCCAGAGACAGCUCUUUCCAUUAAAACCUGGUAAUGUUGGCAGAAGUAAACAAAUUCUUAAAUGUAUACUUCAUUCAAGAUUAAAGAAAAUUUUAGGAAAAUUGCAGCAGGUAACUUUCCUGAUAGCAGAUAAGGAGUUCAGAGAAGGGACCCAGCAACCACGGAUUGCCCUCAAGGGAAAUGCAUUCAAGGGAAAUGACUCCAAGAAAUACUGACACCAUCAUUUUAGGGUAAAGUCAGGAGAGGCCAGUGUUCUAAACUCUCACUGAAUCCUUCAUCCGGGACAGUGAAGCAGCCAGAGGGUCUUCUGUGAGACUCAACGGACCAACAAGUUGGGUUCUUUUUUCACAGCAUAGGAAUGCUUGAGACUGAAGUCCAAAGGCUUGCCCAUGUUAGGCAAAUUCUCCACCACUGAGCUAUAUCCCUAACUUCAAAAGGCUUUUUAUUUACUGUGAACAUUGUAGUUUGAGACUAUAAAAUGAGGUAAAAGACACUCCUAGAAGUAGGGAUGGAGUGGAUUCCUGGAGACCCAACACACUACUUCUCCUAUUCCAAUGUUGACUCAAAGAAUAACUGUAGGAUCUCAUGAGCGAAUGCCUCACCGUUCCCAUCAGAGCAGCCAGAAUCAGACAGCACUGAGCCUGUGCCCACACAGACACCAACACUCACAGGCACAUUCAACUUAGAAGAAGACAUAGCUUAAAACAACAACAACAACAAAAACAAAAACGCAAUGGACCCUAAGCCUAAAAAAGCUGGCAUUACAGUACAAGGAAAGGAUUCUGAUGGGCACCACUCCUGUGCCUGGGACUUACAGGUGACAAGAAAGACUACUAAUUAGUGAAUAAAUCCCUACAGGUGUUUGACCGACCAACCAAGUGCUGUGGCUUGGGAUUCUGAGUGGCCCCACACUGAGCCCUAUGUUGGUGCUGCUGCUCUGACGACUGUGGGGGCCUUGGCAGGUGAGGGCCAGCUCAGAGACGCACAAGGCUAUGGGCAGGCCCUUCUAUAGCUGCCUGUCUUUCCAAAACAGCAUCCUCUUCCUGGAUGCUGCCUUGUGACAUUCUUGCCACCAAGGACUAAGUCACUGUCACAGCCACCCCUCCCCCACCUGAUGGACUAAACCUGCCCAGAAACUGGAUCCCAAACAAGCCUUACUCCCUUCCAUUAUGUCUGCCAGGCCCCUUUUUCUUGUGCUACUGUUUGUCACUACACAGGGAAGAGGUCCAUGAAACCUUUGUUUACUAUCUGACCCACACUGAUCUGAACCUAGACCCUAAGGUGACAGGUGAGCACAAUGCUUCCGGCCUGUGCUACACAGAGACCUUCAAAAUGUACAUCACAGUGUUUGUUUUUACCAGCCCACAGGCUCUUUUGUUUUUUUUACUAACAUUUCUCAUUUCAGGAUACAAAUCCUGCUAAACAAGCAUUUAUGUAGCAUUUGAUAUAUGCUAGGCAAUAUUUUAAGGGCCCCACAUAAAUUCAUUUCAACCUGGUAACAGAGGUGAGAAAAUAAACUCACCCAGUUGAUUUUAUCUCACAGUCUGUAAACUGCAGAAAGAGCUCAGAUUCAUGCUGGACAGGCCAGUUAUCAGUGAACACUCAGACCUUACUACAGUAAGCCACACCCACAAGCACAUCUGUACUGAAGAGUCUCCAAGCUGAGUGGCUCUACCUUUGUAAUCAAUCUCUGUGUGUCUCUGUCUCUGUUUGUCUCUCUGCCCUUGUCUCUGUGUCUAUCUCUGUCUCUGUCUUGCUCUCUCAUACACACACACACACACACACACACACACACACACACACACACACACUUUCUAACACAUGGAAAUUAGAAGAAAUUCCAGUUCAACAGACAUGCUUUCAUUUGCACAUUGCCUGUGCUGAUCUGAGCCACAGCAGCAGGGCUGAGUAGUUUGAAGACAGUUUCUGACUCCCAAAUAUUAAAUAUUCAUGUUGAGGAGUAGUGAAUUUUCAGUCAAAAAAAAAAAAAUUCCUCACUAAAGCCAUUUGCCAACUCCUGCUCUGAACCUCUUCGCCUUUCAAGGAAAAUCACCAGAAAGGCAGCGAAUAUGGCUUCCUUCGCCGUGCUCUCCAUAUUCCGUUACAGAGGGAACCCUGCGCACGGGCCACUUCACUCUCCAGUAAGACAUAAAGGAGACCUCUCAAACAUCCAAUAAAAGCACUCUACUCUCCAGCUGCAAACCUCAGUGGACCCCACACAUGGGCUGAGGUGGACUUCCAUCCUUCUGUUUCUGACCUCGUGUGAGUCCUGAGCUGGCCACCGCUGCCUCCACCACACAACUUCAUACCCUGUUUCUGGUGGCUGCCCAGGCCCAGAUGCAAGAGUGAGCCCAGACACGACUCUCUUCCUGCCUCAUGUCUUACCUCAAGGAGACUCCAGUCACUUCAGACUUUCAAUCUAUACAAUGUCUGGCUGUGCUAUGAGCACCUCCUAUUUGUAGUUACUCAUUAAUUUGCUUGUUAGCAUCUGCCACUCCCCUCUAAUAAAGAGGUCAGGGCUUCACUGAGCACACCUAACACCUGGCCGGCUAUGCAGAGGGCGCAUCAGAGAGAUUUUUGGAGGCUAGAAUGAGAAAAUUUACUACUCUUUCCUCCAAUGUCACAUGCUAGAUGUAUACUACCCUUAACUUCUCUUUUAUUAUUGGAAUUCCAACUAAAACCCAAAUUAGUUUUUUUUCCAAAACGAGUCUUAAGUAUUUAGACUUUCUUUAAAUUCAUAUGAAGAUAAAUACCCAUUUUUAUUAGUUUACAGAUUUCUUGAUUAUAAAAAUUCCAGAUAAUAAUAUGAAAUGUUACUCUACCAAAGUAUGGUUUCCUCACAGAUAUCUCAUUGCCCAUCUAUCUAAAGCUAACAUCUGUAAUAGUCAUUGCUAGGAACUAUGGUUCAGUUUACCUUAUAGUUUUAAGGCCAAAGGCAAGAUGUAAUCUUGAGUAUGUUAGCUAGAAGAAGUAAUUUUCAACCUAAUCAAAACCUUAAAGUACUUUAUCAGAAUCACUAGUAUGUAAUUAAUGCAUUGCACAGACACUUGAAGUAUUAGGAAGGGCAAGGCUUAAAGCGAGUCCCCACCCUAUGCAGACUCCAGUGUCUUAGGGUUUCCAUGGCUGCAGGAAGACACCGACCAGAAGCAACUUGGGAGGAAAAGAUUGGGUUCAUCGUAUAUCUUGCAGUCCAUCGUCCAGAGAAUUGAGGGAAGAAACUCAAAAAGGGCAGGAACCUGGAUCCAGGGGCUGAUGCAGAGGCCAUGGCGGAGUGCUGCUUACCAGCCUGCUGCCAUGGCUUGCUUGGGCUGCUUUCUUAUAGAAUCCAGGACCACCAGCCCAGAGAUGGCACCACCUCUACAAUGGUCUGUACCAUCUCACAUCAAACAUCAAUCAAGAAUAUGUACCACAGGCUUGCCCACAGACCAAUAUAGUAAGGGCAUUGUCUCACUUCCAAAACUGACUCUGGCUUGUGUCAAAUUGCCAUGGAACUAGCCACCAGGCCCAUCUUUCUUAUAAAAUGCCUGUCCUUACUUAUACAAGUGGUCUCUGAGUCUUGAUUUUCUGGCCUUGCCCCUGACGGUCAAUAUGGGCUUCUCAGAAGCUCCCAGGAAAACAGGAUUUUGAACAGAAAGACAACAAUAAGGUGAGAGUGUGGGUGAAUGUCCUUAAUACCACUCAGAGUCUACACCUUUGCUGCUGAAGAACCCUAGUGCAGUGGUUCUCAACCUUCCUAAUGCUGCGCCCCUUUAACACAGCUUCUCAUGUUGUGGUGACCUCAACCGUAAAGUUAUUUUCAUUGCUACUUCAUAACUGUAAUUUUGUUACAUAUGAAUCAUAAUGUAAAUAUCUAAUAUGCAAUUCCCAAAGGAGACAUGACCUAUAGGUUGGGAACUGCUGCCCUAAAGUCAGGUGGCCCUGUCUAUGGUGUGGACUCUAAACUCUUUCUGGAAUUGGUAAUGCGUCCAAACAUGUAUCCUACAAGCCCUCACUGACAGUUUCCAUGUUUAAUUCCAUUUGAUUGGCUGCUAAGUGAAUAUUCACUACAAUGGAAUGAACUAGCUAAACCAUUUUACUUAACUCAGACUCCUCUCAAGGUCUCAGUUUUUGAGGCAGUGAGAUACCAAAUGUUGCUUUCAAACUAUGUGCCUUAGCUUUAGACUUUUAAAACUAGUUUAAAAUACCUCAAAUUAUCCUGAUUACACAAUUUUACCAUAUAUGUAGUUAACCACAAACAUAAGGAAUGUGUGUAGCCCUCAGCUGUCACCCAGUACUGUCUCCUGUAGAGACGUGGAUGAGGCGUGUGAUAGGCAAGGUGGUUUUUAGAUCACACAGUGUAGUGACAGCAUGCUUCAAAUUAGCAAGAAGAGUCAGAUUGCUGCCCAGAGUGUGCGUCCACUUCAGCAGCCUAAUCGUCUUAAAGUGGGGGCCCACUGUCUUCCUUUCUGCAUUCUUCAGAGCUAUAAAUACAGGCUUUUAAAAAUACCUUUCAAGGCAGAAGGUACAAAGAAGACUUUCCCAAAGUAUGCAUAAAGAAAAGGAGGGGGCUGGAGAGAUGGCUCAGUGGUUACGAUCACUGACUGUUCUUCCAGAGGUCCUGAGUUCAAUUCCCAUCAACCACAUGGUGGCUCACAACCAUCUGUAAAGAGAUCAGAUGCCCUCUUCUGGUGUGUCUGAAUAUAGCUACAGUGUACUACUAUACAUAAAAUAAAUAAUUUUUAAAAAAAGAAAAAGAAGAGGAGGAAGGAGAGAGGUAAGGAGGGGGAAAAUGAGGGAGAAAGGAGGGAGGGAGGGAGGGAAGGAGGGAGGAGGGGGAGAUAGGUUGGUUGUUACUUGUCUUCAUGUUUGAGCACAAUAAUCUUUUACUGAGUUUCCUUUUUACUAGAUCACUAAUGGGAGAAGUGAGUUAAGGCUACAACUUAAGAGCUGCAUCCAACUACGCAAGGCAAAUCCUUACAUAGUCAUCAGGGCCUCCAAGAUCCAGUCUGCACUAAGUGUGGACGCCUGCGGUGAAAGGACUGAAGCCGCACCUUCAGGGAGCACUUAUGUUCCUGUUUCAUUCCAUCCAAAAGCGACUCUGGGGUUUUAAAAAGAAGUCUACAGAAUCUGAAGUAGAAGCAGACUAUUAAAAUACGAUGAGGAAAAGAGGUAAGUCCUUUGAUUUUUCUCUGCUGAAAGCCUGUGUUUGUUAAUACUUCUAUCAUUAAUUACUUCCUUAUGUAACGUGAGAGCAUCCGUGUUAACACAUACCCUG